UGGGGAAUAUUGCACAAUGGGCGCAAGCCUGAUGCAGCGACGCCGCGUGCGGGAUGACGGCCUUCGGGUUGUAAACCGCUUUUGAUCGGGAGCAAGCCUUCGGGUGAGUGUACCUUUCGAAUAAGCACCGGCUAACUACGUGCCAGCAGCCGCGGUAAUACGUAGGGUGCAAGCGUUAUCCGGGAUUAUUGGGCGUAAAGGGCUCGUAGGCGGUUCGUCGCGUCCGGUGUGAAAGUCCGUCGCUGAACGUGGGAUCUGCGCCGGGGACGGGCGGGCUGGAGUGCGGUAGGGGAGACUGGAAUUCCCGGUGUAACGGUGGAAUGUGUAGAUAUCGGGAAGAACACCAAUGGCGAAGGCAGGUCUCUGGGCCGUUACUGACGAUGAGGAGCGAAAGCGUGGGGAGCGAACA
This 409-nucleotide ribosomal RNA is filed under the name uncultured prokaryote. RNAcentral describes it as "bacterial SSU rRNA". It matches the Rfam family "Bacterial small subunit ribosomal RNA", at positions 355 to 774 of the family's 1533-position model. The record is from RNAcentral.